UGCGCCCUCUUAUUCUUCACACGAUAAAAAUUUUUUACGUAAAUUUUUCUCAUGCCUAGAAGCUUUUCCAUCUCCAUAUCUAAUUUUUUUGAAUUAAAAAUUGGUUAAUUUAAAUUUGAGUUCAAAUAGGUUUGGGUUUGAAUUUGAAUGAAAAUCUGGAGUCCAAAUUGAGUUAGACUCUUCUCUUCACGCCAUCACCUUUCUCCACGCAUAAAGUAUCUUUGCAUGAGAUUUUUUGUAC
This 241-nucleotide long non-coding RNA is filed under the name Elaeis guineensis (African oil palm). RNAcentral describes it as "long non-coding RNA (EGUI_LNC062137)". Lineage: Eukaryota; Viridiplantae; Streptophyta; Magnoliopsida; Arecales; Arecaceae. The record is from RNAcentral.